GGGGGUGACCGGCUUUGACGGUCUGUACCUUGAAGGAUGUGCGGCGCAGUGCUCUCCCGCUGACACUUAAAUCCAGCGGGAAAACAAACUUGCCAAGACAACUCUUGCAAGCGCGGUUAAGUCGCCUUACUUCGGUAAGGUCGGCGAUAUCGCGUUCGCCUACGCAACAGCUCGAGCGUAAGCUCGCUGUCGCCUAGCGCGACGUCUAUCCUCUCCAGUUUCUACAGUGGGAAGGAUGGGCGGAAUUACCUGUAGAAUCGAUGUCCGGUCUCCCGCCCGCGACAUCUAAAUUAGGGAUCGGGCAGGAAUGGUUUCGUCUGCGUUCUUCGCAUCCUGCUUUAAACCGCUUCGGCGGAUAACGCUGACUACGCGUCGUAGACUCUCUUUCAAUAACAGAUUCGGACGGGGGUUCAAUUCCCCCCGCCUCCACCA
RNAcentral lists this transfer-messenger RNA (432 nucleotides) under Candidatus Kaiserbacteria bacterium RIFCSPHIGHO2_01_FULL_53_31. It matches the Rfam family "transfer-messenger RNA". From Rfam's summary of the family: Bacterial tmRNA, also known as 10Sa RNA or SsrA, is named for its dual tRNA and mRNA-like properties. RNAcentral also lists the same sequence under 2 other names. Lineage: Bacteria; Candidatus Kaiseribacteriota. The record is from RNAcentral.